Molecule: transfer RNA, 74 nt
Organism: Thiomonas bhubaneswarensis
Lineage: Bacteria; Pseudomonadati; Pseudomonadota; Betaproteobacteria; Burkholderiales
Rfam family: tRNA
About the family: Transfer RNA (tRNA) molecules are approximately 80 nucleotides in length. Their secondary structure includes four short double-helical elements and three loops (D, anti-codon, and T loops). Further hydrogen bonds mediate the characteristic L-shaped molecular structure. tRNAs have two regions of fundamental functional importance: the anti-codon, which is responsible for specific mRNA codon recognition, and the 3' end, to which the tRNAs corresponding amino acid is attached (by aminoacyl-tRNA synthetases). tRNAs cope with the degeneracy of the genetic code in two manners: having more than one tRNA (with a specific anti-codon) for a particular amino acid; and 'wobble' base-pairing, i.e. permitting non-standard base-pairing at the 3rd anti-codon position.
Source: Rfam
CGGGGCGUAGCGCAGUCUGGUAGCGCAUCUGCUUUGGGAGCAGAGGGUCGGAGGUUCGAAUCCUCUCGCCCCGA